This 351-nucleotide long non-coding RNA is filed under the name Physcomitrium patens. Its description in RNAcentral is "long non-coding RNA (PPAT_LNC005106)". Lineage: Eukaryota; Viridiplantae; Streptophyta; Bryopsida; Funariales; Funariaceae. The record is from RNAcentral.
GAUUUGUGAUGGACGAAAAAUUGAUUUCAAACAUCCAAUUCUGUACCUAUAAUACCGACAUAUAUUUUAAUUAGCUAUGGCGUUUCGUUGGUAUCCAGAUUAAUGGAUUGACACACUGGGUCUUCAACAACCUUUGAUUUAAUUGUCUUCUCGUAAUCUGAAUAUCUUGUAUUAUUUGACAUAUGGGAACCACCCAAAUCUAGUUCCAAUGUGCUGACUCUAUUGACUGUGGAAUUGUUCAUCCAUUUGGCAAUAGCAUGAUCUAAGUUAGUCACAUCCUCAUGAUGCAGUAAAUAUUUGUCGGGACCUCCACAUUGGUAAACUCCUGCCUUUGCUGUUGAAGUGUUUUGU